UAGGAUACCGUGGACGCUCCCGGUUCUGGAAUUAACAGUAGCCUACUAGAACAGUGAAUCUAUUGAGUGAGCUUUGCCAGAAUCGCUGACUGAAACGAUAGGAAUUCAUGCUAAUAUGGAGCAAAGAUCUGGAUGGGUUUCUUGCCAAUCUCCUGCUCUACUUUUCGUGCUACUUUGAAAAAAACCUGUGGAGGGAAGACCGAAGUCUCUCAUGGGAGAGGACACUGAGAGGCAGAUGCAUGGAGGAACAUGUGCUAAGGUGGAGCUGGCACAAAAGCAGUUUGCCCUCUGGCACUUCAGGCUACUGCUGGGGAUAAAUAUGCCUCAAAAUCACCAUAUGGCUUUUGACAGGAUUAAGGUAUCAUCCACUUGCUGUAACAGACAACUCUACGAGG
Carassius gibelio (silver crucian carp) is the source of this 395-nucleotide long non-coding RNA. RefSeq lists it as uncharacterized. The transcript is spliced from 4 exons. NCBI's taxonomy places the organism in Eukaryota, Metazoa, Chordata, Actinopteri, Cypriniformes, Cyprinidae. The record is from RefSeq and is a predicted model, not a curated record.